This 468-nucleotide ribosomal RNA is filed under the name uncultured bacterium. Its description in RNAcentral is "partial 16S ribosomal RNA". It matches the Rfam family "Bacterial small subunit ribosomal RNA", at positions 38 to 507 of the family's 1533-position model. The record is from RNAcentral.
GGGGGGGGGGGGGGGGGGGCGGGACGGGGGGAAGUCGAGCGGAAGGGGCGGGCUUUGGGGGGGGGCUGGAGUGGCGAAGGGGUGAGUCACACGUGGGUAACCGGCCCUUGACUUUGGGCUAACUUCAGGAAACGGGGGCUAAUACCGGAUAGGAGCGCCUGCUGCGUGGUGGGGGUUGGAAAGUUUCGGCGGUUGGGGAUGGACUCGCGGCUUAGCAGCUUGUUGGUGGGGUAGUGGCUUACCAAGGCUUUGACGGGUAGCCGGCCUGGGAGGGUGACCGGCCACAUUGGGACUGAGAUACGGCCCAGACUCCUACGGGAGGCAGCAGUGGGGAAUAUUGCACAAUGGGCGGAAGCCUGAUGCAGCAACGCCGCGUGCGGGAUGACGGCCUUCGGGUUGUAAACCGCUUUCGCCUGUGACGAAGCGUGAGUGACGGUAAUGGGUAAAGAAGCACCGGCUAACUACGUG